This 495-nucleotide ribosomal RNA is filed under the name uncultured bacterium. RNAcentral's name for it is "partial 16S ribosomal RNA". It matches the Rfam family "Bacterial small subunit ribosomal RNA", at positions 28 to 507 of the family's 1533-position model. The record is from RNAcentral.
GACGAACGCUGGCGGCGUGCCUAAUACAUGCAAGUAGAACGCUGAAGGAGGAGCUUGCUUCUCUGGAUGAGUUGCGAACGGGUGAGUAACGCGUAGGUAACCUGCCUGGUAGCGGGGGAUAACUAUUGGAAACGAUAGCUAAUACCGCAUAAUAGUAGAUGUUGCAUGACAUUUGCUUAAAAGGUGCAAUUGCAUCACUACCAGAUGGACCUGCGUUGUAUUAGCUAGUUGGUGGGGUAACGGCUCACCAAGGCGACGAUACAUAGCCGACCUGAGAGGGUGAUCGGCCAAACUGGGACUGAGACACGGCCCAGACUCCUACGGGAGGCAGCCGUAGGGAAUCUUCGGCAAUGGACGGAAGUCUGACCGAGCAACGCCGCGUGAGUGAAGAAGGGUUUCGGAUCGUAAAGCUCUGUUGUAAGAGAAGAACGAGUGUGAGAGUGGAAAGUUCACACUGUGACGGUAGCUUACCAGAAAGGGACGGCUAACUACGUG